GAUUUUGCUGGGGACCAAAGUGUCCGGAUUAACGAGGUUCCACUGUACCUACCAUUUUAAAAGUUUUAAUGACCCGAUUUUGAGCUGCAAUUUACAUUCCUCUACAGAUGCACAAAUUGACAAAGUUUUUGGAUUCUAGGACUCAAAUCUACAGAAGGCCAUAUUUGGCAUAACCAUUUUUAGGCUCCAUAUCAUCCUAAUUAUAGGUCACAGUGACCUUGAUUUAGAGUGUGAUACACCUUCUACUGAAGAUGCAUUAACUGCCCAUGUUUGAUGAUUCUAGACCAAAUAAUUGUCUAGUUACAAGUUGGAAAGGAUUUUGCCAUAUUCGGACAUAUUGUCUUAAUCAAAGGUCACAGUGACCUGACUUUAAAGUGUGACCCAACCUCUACCCAAGAUAUAUCAGCUGACAAAGUUAGAUGAUUCUAAGUCUCAUAUUAUUUAAAUUAUGGGCCAGACACGAAGUGGGACAGACAAACAGACGAGAUCACCAUAACAUAAUAUAUCCUGUCUUAGAGAGGCCUAUAAAAUUCACUACAAACAUUUCCAGUUUCUCACCGUUUCUGGUUGCUUAAAUGGCUAUAAAUUGCUUUCAGAAUACUGUAGUAGCUUCUCUCAUAAAACCACAUGCAUCUAAAUUUGCUACAAUAUGAUCAUGUGAAAUACAAUCAAAAAUGCUUUUGAUAAAUCUAUCAUAAUUGCUGCAGUGUAUUUGUUAUGAUCAAGAGUUAAUUUCCAAUCUACAACAAUUUUUAGUGGUACACUUUGACAUCCAUAUCCAGGUCUAAAAGCUGAUAAGAUAUCAUUCAAAUGGUAAUUGAUAAACUCUGAUAGCUGACUAUGAAUAACCCUUCCAAAAAUGUAGACAAUGUAGGGCAAUAUACUGACAGGCCUGUAGUUUCCCUUUUCUAGAAUACUUUUCUUUUUGUGUAUAUUAGGAACAACUUGUGCUAUUUUCAUACAAUCAGGAAACAGUGCAGCUCUGUGUGAACAGAUUUCAAUCUUGAGACUAAAUGAGGACGUUCAUAUGUUUUAACAAAUACUUGUGGUUCUUCAAAAGACCAAACACAAUUAAACCUGCCCAAAUGGGACAAAUUCAAAGUGAGGCAUACUCGAAAUACUGUACAGCAUCAUAUAGUUAUACAACAAAUUAUCAAUCUAAUUAAAACUAAACCGCUUAGAUCCGUGCCGUAUACUCUGAGUAAGAAGAUCUGACAUAACCCAACUAGGGGUCAUGUUCAUGUAAACUUUAUGUUAGCCAAUCAGCGCAUCGCCUAUGAAUUUGCCGGUGUUCACAAUUCAAGGAAAACGGUUGCGAUUAUUUGGUUUGAAAGAAAACACAUCCCAGCUAGAUGUGACGUCACAAUGCACCGUUUACGUCGAAUGGCGUUAUAUUCCUCGCGUUAAUUAAGUAAACCAUUUUGAAAACUAUUCAAAUCUUACCCAUCGCUAUUCAUACAUAUUAAAAUCGCAAUUCACAAUCAAUUUUAUUUGGGUGUAUAUUAUAUCGUACGUUUUAUUGUUUGUAUGAACGGAAUAGAUUCAACAUUACUGCAAAAAAUUAAAAUUCCUUAUAUACAAUUUUAUAGUGUGGAAUAAACUUCGUGGGAGAGAGAUUACUGCAACUAAUCUACGAAUUGCCAGGAACCGUCUAAAUAGCCAUCAUUGUCUGUAUGGCGAAAUCUGAUAGUUAUCAUGAAUAUUCCAAGCGAAAGGUCAUGCGGACAUGAUCCCCUAUGGGGUUAUGUCAGAUCCUAUUGUAGUGAUUGUGAGCCUAUCUUAGGAUCUGCCUUUAAUUAGAUUGAACAUAUUAUGAAUCUAACUGACCUUUUCACUAGCCAAAUGACCUUGUAUCAGGGUCAUGACAUAUCUUGCCAUAAUCAACCUUUGUGCAAUUAUCAGCUUCUACUGUCUCUAAUUACAAAGUUAUGACCUGUGCAAAAAUUUAAAACUUUUUUUAAUGGGUGACCUUGGACAAAGAUCAUAACACCGUCUGACCAUAACAACCUCCGUGCCAAGUAUUAGCGUUUAAUGUCAUGCUCCAGUACACAGUUAAGGCAUGAAUAAAAUUAGCGAGAUGAAAAGAGAGAAAAACAGGGCGAUCCCUUUACAUGCUAUAUACACAACAACCCCCUCCCCCCUUAAAAAAAAAAAUUUGCGGAAGAUUUGAUUAAAGUUGAAUUAACUCCAUCAAUUAAACUAACAUCAAUGAAACUAAUAUAUGCAAAUAUUACUCCUUAGGACCGAGGAGUUCUUCUGAUGUCAUAUUCUGAAUGCUAUAGAUGUAUGGUAUCACUUGGGAUUUCAGUCCGUAGGUGGACAUUCAUGGACAAAUACUGCCCAUUUCAUUGGGUUGUUCAUGAAUAAGUCUCCCUCAUGACACAAUAACUUCCUUACUAAUGUCAGGGCACAGAUGUAAAAUUUUGGGACAGAAAAACUAUUAACAAACAACAUUCUCCCUUCAUAAACUCACACUGUUAUCAUUUAAGCAUUGAACAUUUUAAUUUUGACAUCUAUCAUGUUUACAAUAAGGAACAGUUCACAUGUUAUGAUAAUUCACAUGCACAACAUUUCCUGCUAUUUGUACAAUAGAAAUUUUUCCUAAUCUUCAUUUAAGGAGGUACUCUACAUCAUCAUAAUGGCUGACUUCCUAUUAAAACAUGGAUUGAAAUAUAAAUAUCAGCAAUAUUUGUCUAUUCAUUUCAAAUAUUAUUGCCUAUAGCUGAGUAGCUCAGUCCGGUUAACAUAUCAACUGCCGAACUGCAGAUCGCAGGUUCGAGUCCAGCAGAGGUUUUAGAUUUUUUUUUAGAUUGCUUUCUACUAAAACUGCAUUUUUUGACUAAAUAAAGUAAAUUUGAAAGUUUUCAAUUUCAAAAUAUUGUUGUACAUAUCCUCUACUUUUCAUUCAUAUCAUAUUUUUCUGGCAUUCCUCCUUAACACUUAUAUUUUCUCAAUAAAAUACUUUUAUACUUUGAAAUUUACCACUUAGUACACAUUUGAGAAAUUAACAAAACAGCUUGUUCAACGAACUAGAUACUGGUUUUACAUAGGUUUUAACCAGUUCUAGCACAUGAAGAGCCUGUUGUCCAUGCAUUGUGAAGUCCCUGUGUUUCUAAGGGGAAGGAAGGCAAAAAAAAAAGCACUCUUUCUCUCACUUUUAUUUUGGAAUAUAUAUACCAAUUAAACCUUGUAAUGUAAAUUGAAUGGGAAAUAUACAGCAGAAUAUAUAAAAACUUUUAUCUGAUAUAUUUAUUGUAUCUCAAAAGAAAAAGUUAUCCCUAUAUAAAGCCAAUCACAUCAAACAGUUACAAACCCUAAAAACAUAUUACCUGUACAGCCGACCCAGACUCAUGUAUCAAAAAAUGUCUUAUAUCUACAAAUGUACAGAUUAAAUAUAUGAAGUAUAUAAUUAUAUAUAUAUGGCACUUCUUUAUAAAAAUCCAGGUAAUGGGAACAUGACAUGAGCUUAGGUAAAACAGGUACAAAUCUUGUGACCUGACUAAAAACUAACAAAAUGAAUCAUGUAUAUACAUGUUAUGAUGUAGGUUACAAUUUUAUCUUUCAGAUAGUGCACACCCUUAUCCAAUAUGUAGGGGAACUCUGCUUUUGUUUUCGUUGUUAUGGAAUUUUAUAAAGCAAAAAUUGGGAAAAUUAAAUGCUUUUUAGCAUUGGGAAUGGGGCCUAUUUUAGCCCUCUACAGACCCUAUAAAUAUCCCUGGUACUUAUUCUUGUUAUAUUGAGGAGGAGGGGGGGGGGGGGGGGGGGGGGGGGGGGGGGGGGGAGUUCAACAUCUUUCAAAUUUUCUAAAUUUUUUUUGUACCAAAAAGUAAUAUGAACAGCAACAUACCAUUACAACACCACCAUAUAAACCAGAUCCUAUAUAAUGGUAAAUAUUCGACGAAAUAAACACAGCUCUUGAUCACUGAUUUAGUGUCAACAAUAUUAUGUCACAUAUAAGACAUACAGGAUAAACAAAACGGAAAUUACAGACCAUGUGUACUGUGAUAAAUACUUAGAGACAGACAAAGGAUAGGUGUUAACUAUAGUAUAUCAGAGUCUGUUUACACUUACAUCUCUGUACGUAUAUAACCCAGUAAACAUUAAAAUUUGCUGCUACUUUAUCAAUACUGUAGUUAUCUUCAUAUUGCAGUUUGGUGUUUCGUCUCAUUUCAAAUUGUGGAAAUACACGUACAGCUCUACAGGACAUCACUUUCUAUAUAGUUUAACUAGUUAAGAUAAAAUCUUGACUAGAUGCCAUUAAAACAAUAAAUGUAGCUAGAUGACAACACAUCUUUUACCUGCACUUUAAAAUUGCCAUUUUAGAGAUCUAACAUAUACUUAGAACUGCAGGGCACAUCAUUAAGAUUCAAAAUCUUUACGUCAAAACAUUUUAUAGUCUAAAUCCUGCAGGUCCAAUAUUUUUUUAAAAGUCAGAAUGUUACCAUGUGAUCAUCUACCAUGAUUAAAAUGCUUUUAUGAAUCUGACACAUUAUGGAACAAAAUCAAAAGAUCAAUGUUGGAUAAAAAUCUAACUUAAAGUAGUUCGGGAGAUGGUGGGAGGGGGGGGGGGGGUCCUAACCUCAAACAUUUAUUAAUUCUCAUGAUAUUUUGGGGAACAAAUUUAAGUUUUCUCGUGUAGACCUAAAACCUAAAGCCUACAAGUACACUUUCAUAUGUGAAUAAACAGUAGAAAAUGUAUACGGUAUAUAUUAAUUAUAUAUGAAUAUAAUAAUAAUAUAUAAAUAAUUUAUAUGAAUGUACUUAUUAUAAAUACAUCUCCAAAAAAGUCAAAUCUUUUCAAUUACUUUUCAAUUGUAUUCUUUAAUCAAAUUAACUUUAAAGUUUGAAAAUGAUGGAAUGAAUGUUAUAAUAUUAUGAUGUUAGACUGUUUCCCUGUUUGUGCAUUAAUUAGAUGUCUCUGUAUGUCUAUAUACUUGAUGCAGCAUGGGCCACAGUGCCCAGGGCUAUAGGUGUAGGUCUAAUUUUGUUCAGGUGUGAACCACUCUCAUUCCUGAGAACAAAGGAACAGGUACAAAAAAUACCUGAGUAAGAGUUCACUUCAUUCAGAUAUUACAUUCAGAACUAAACAUGACUCAAGAUUUUUAGCAGAAUUCCUCAAAAAGUUUGAAUGAAGACGAAUCAUUGUGAACAGCCUUCGCGGUCAAGUCUUUAAGACAUUUUGAAAUAAACUUCAGUAACUGAAAUGUAUUUAUCAUAAUUACAUUCUUCAAAGUAAUUGAGAGUAAUUAAUUAAAUUGGUUAAAAUCAACGUAAUUGUAAUUGGAAGUAAUUGGCAUCAGACAAAAUCAUGAAAGUAUUUGUAAUUGACUCCAUAACUGGUUACCAUGGGGCAUACUAUAUACUUUUAACAUUACAUAACACAAGAACUAGUGGAACUAACCAUGUGUAAAAUGAAGAGGAAAAAUUCACGUGACUGGACUGCGAAUCCAACCCUGGACCUAUGUCACUAGUUUGAUGCUUUACACGCUGAACUAUAUUAAGGCAUUAUUAUACAGGGUUCGAAAUUAACUCAUGUCCGUAAGUCCGAGACUAGUAGAAAACGUGUUGGACUAGUGAACUCUCUAUAGCACUAGUCCAUACGGACUAGUGAAAAUCCAGAAAUCAAUUUUGAAUUGGUAAAGAUUUUAGCAAGAUUUGUCUGAGUCUUUUAGAUGUUUGAACUUAUGGUUGAUUACCUGCAUGGUCAGGUGUUUGCAUGACUAUGACAGUCUGAGUGUGGUCUGAGAACAUGCACGUUUGUAUCCACAUAUUCUCGUCAUUCGCGACUCUAACACAGUAGUUCAUAACACUAUAGCUCAUGACUUGGUCAAUCGAGUGAAUUUUAUUGACUUUAUUGAUAAAAUUUCGAACUCCUGUGACUCUAAGGUCUGUACACCAAAACAACAGGAACGUCGAUCUUGAACGCACUUAUGGACGUUUAUCAAAGGAUUAACUCGGAGGUUAAGAUUGUAUGCUUUUGAAGAUCUUGAAUGCGAAAUAAAAUAUGGUGGUCUCUUUUUCUUCUGUAGGUGUCAGAAAUUGAAUUGUUUGCAACUGUGAUGUGUUUAGUUUGAUUAAAAUGAAGAUCAAUUUUAGAUAUACUGGACGGACUAGUGAAAUGCUUUGCGGACUAGUGAACAUCAAUAGUGACUAGUCCGUACGGACUAGUGCUUGAAAAAGUUAAUUUCGAACCCUGGUCUAUCUUCCAUGUCACAUAGAUCACUUUCCCUCCCCGUUUCUUACCUCAAAGAAAAAUCCCCAAUGAGACUCUAAAUUUCUCCACUUGGGUAAUUUAGUUCGGUACCAAUGUAAUUAGCUGCAGAACUGUAAUGGCUAUGUAAACAGUCAAACUUGAUCGAAGCUGUGAAUUUUCAGUUUGAAAGGGGCUUUAACAGGAUGUUUGUCUUGACACAAGUGAAAUGGAAUAAUGUUAGAAUAAUUUUUACUGAAUUAUAUGAUAUAUAAGACCUGAAUCAUGUGCAGAAAAAGUUGAGCUGUACAUUGAAUGCUUAAUAAUAAGAGCUUAAAAGGUAGAUCUGAAGCAAAAUUGUUCUUACUAAAUUAAAAGUCACGUCUCUUCAACUGGUUCACCAAAUGUGCUAUGCUCACCCCAAUAAGAGCAAAACAUGAUGUUAAUUACAAUUAUGUGGUAUUUGGUGUAGAUUUUAUUAAUGCUGUUAAAAGAUUUCCAGCAGCUCAUCAUCCUGGACAAUCUGGGAUUUGCAGUCAUUUUGAAAUGCGAAUAUAACUAUAGUUUCCGAAUCAAUAACAUUCUUCCAUUAUAAUAACAGGAUAAAGUGAUUGAUAGAUUAGCAACAAGACAUUAGAACUUACGUCAUUUCUGUCUAAUGAGAGAGAGAAAAAUCCUCUAUGUUAUCAAUGCACCUUUUUCAUUCAUCGUUACAUCCAUCAUAAAUUAUUUCCGGAAA
Ostrea edulis (European flat oyster) is the source of this 6929-nucleotide long non-coding RNA. RefSeq lists it as uncharacterized. The transcript has 2 exons. NCBI's taxonomy places the organism in Eukaryota, Metazoa, Mollusca, Bivalvia, Ostreida, Ostreidae. The record is from RefSeq and is a predicted model, not a curated record.